Peromyscus eremicus (cactus mouse) is the source of this 783-nucleotide long non-coding RNA. RefSeq lists it as uncharacterized. The transcript is spliced from 3 exons. Lineage: Eukaryota; Metazoa; Chordata; Mammalia; Rodentia; Cricetidae. The record is from RefSeq and is a predicted model, not a curated record.
UCUGAAGGAGAUUAUGCAGUGUGGUCCAGGAGUCUUGAAACACUGAGAGGAAAAACAAGUGCAUUCCGAAUUCAAUAUCUUUUCUUCUUUUCCCAACACUGUUCCCUGAAGCUCUUCAGAAAGCAAGACCCACAUGUGUCUGAAAGCCAUGUGAGGACCAGGAGAGAUUUCUCCCAACUGAAGCUCUACCCUGCCAGGCAGUGUGAAGUCUCCAGACCCAGGAUGUGGAGGAGAAAAAAUCGUCCUGUGAGUGAUUGUCAGACCCUGAACCCCUCUUGGAGAAGUACCGGAGUACAUACAAUGGAGACGCAGUGCAGCAUUUGCCCCUGAGAGCAGCAUUGUGUCUUGCACUAACAGUGUAGUUGUGGAAUUUCGUGGACUGUCACUUCCAGCUUGCUGAUGUCAGGGUGGCAUCCUGUGGCUGUGCAAAUGCGUGUGAACAGCAUGAAGACAGCGGCAGCUCUCUGCACCGUGGGUAGCAGAGGACACCCUGGGUGGAUGCAGAGGGAGUAGAUGAAGUCCUGAGUGUAUGUGUACUGUCACCUUGGGCAUAGUCAUGUCGAGGACCCCUGGGAACAGCAAAGCUGUCCUCUGGUCCAAGCACAAGUGUUUAUGAGUGAUUGACCAACGUGUACAAAAGCUAGCAACCCCACAACUUUCUCCUGCCAGACCUCCACCUCCCGGAGAACUCUUACUAUCUAAACCUGCUUUCUUGUUCAGCUGUAUAUAAUAAAUCCUCCUCCCUAAUUUGGAUGUUUAAAAUAAACUCGUUAUUUCCAGGUU